CUCACACGGCUGCAGCCGGUGCCGCUGCCACUCCCGGGAGCAUGAAGGACCGAACCCAGGAGCUCCGCACGGCCAAGGACAGCGAUGAUGAUGACGAUGUCGCUGUCACCGUGGACCGAGACCGCUUCAUGGAUGAGUUCUUUGAGCAGGUGGAGGAGAUUCGAGGCUUCAUUGACAAGAUCGCAGAGAACGUGGAGGAGGUGAAGCGGAAGCACAGUGCCAUCCUGGCGUCCCCCAACCCCGAUGAGAAGACGAAGGAGGAGCUGGAAGAACUCAUGUCCGACAUAAAGAAGACAGCAAACAAAGUUCGUUCCAAGUUAAAGAGCAUCGAGCAGUCCAUCGAGCAAGAGGAAGGCCUGAACCGCUCCUCCGCUGACCUGAGGAUCCGGAAGACACAGGUGCGGCCACGGAGUCUAGGGUGGGCGGGCACCUGAGUCUCUGGGUCGGUCCCCGCGGGGCCUCACCCCUGCACCUCCAUCUCGGGCCCCCAGCACUCCACGCUGUCCAGAAAGUUUGUGGAGGUCAUGUCGGAGUACAACGCCACGCAGUCCGACUACCGCGAGCGCUG
This 568-nucleotide small RNA is filed under the name Pongo abelii (Sumatran orangutan). RNAcentral's name for it is "retained intron". The record is from RNAcentral. Lineage: Eukaryota; Metazoa; Chordata; Mammalia; Primates; Hominidae.